AAAUUCCUGAGGGUACGGAGAUGUUUGUCAUUUGCGAUGAGGCAACCUAUAAAAAAAUUUGAGCUAAAUCUUCGUAAAAAAAUACUCUUUUUUGGUUUAAAAUCUUUAUAGAAGGAUAUAAUAAUCACGCAAGGUUAAAUUGCAAUUUUUUUAAUCGCUAGGAGGCAACAAUUGUGGAACGUGGUAAGGUAAAAUGGUUUAACAGUGAAAAAGGAUUUGGAUUCAUUGAGCGUGAAGGCGGCGAAGACGUAUUCGUACACUUCUCAGCAAUUCAGGGAGAAGGCUACAAAUCUUUAGAUGAAGGUCAAGAAGUUACAUUUGAAGUUGAACAAGGCCAGCGUGGCCCACAAGCGACAAACGUACAGAAAGCCUAACUUAGGAUAGCUAAAACAGACUCGGAAUUUUCUGGGUCUGUUUUU
This 419-nucleotide small RNA is filed under the name Mesobacillus selenatarsenatis SF-1. RNAcentral's name for it is "Bacillus selenatarsenatis SF-1 cspA thermoregulator". It matches the Rfam family "cspA thermoregulator". Lineage: Bacteria; Bacillati; Bacillota; Bacilli; Caryophanales; Bacillaceae. The record is from Rfam by way of RNAcentral.